AGCUUCAGGCCGGGGCCCCAGACUCCCACUUUACUCCGUCAUUUGUUUCCAAUGUUCUGAUUGAAACAAAUGUGGGGAUGGAACUGUCACUCUGGCUACAGAGCCCCUGCAGGCUGGGCCAGCGCCAAGAGCCCAAGGAGGCGGGGCCUUCGCAGGAAACAUCGCCCCCUAGUGGCCACAGGUGAGCAUGACACCCCAGGAGAGCGGGACCCAGAGAAGGCGACACAGACAGGGGACUGAGACCGUCCUCCAGGAGGGAACCUGCAGACAGGCGGGGAGGCGGAGCCCCACGGGGACCGACAGCCCGGGCUCCGUCCGGCCUUCCCCUGGCAGGGAGCUCCCUUACUGAUUACCGUCGGCUCCGGCUGUUGCUGUGAGCAGUGUCUGGGAUGGGUCCGCUUCUCCCCGUAAUUCUGUUUUUAUUUUAUGUGUUUUGAGACUAUGUUGCCAGGUGUAUUAAUCUCCAGGAUUGUCACAGCUUAUUGUUAAACUGUUAGUGAACCUCCUUCUCUAGGGGCUGCUGCUGGACGUGUAACGUGGGCUCUCCAGGUGGGCAGAGUUGGCUGAUUACUGUGGUGUAAAUGCUCCCUCGGGGGCCGAUUUCAAGGUACCAACAAGGAUGUCACCGAACACGGAUGUGGGAAGAGGCCCCCCCGUCAGCUCCUGUGAGCUGGCACCAGCCGGCCCCAACGAGGGUCCCAGUGCACCGCUAUCUUCACGUGUAGGGACACUUUCUGCCUCCAUUGCAUCCCGUCUGGUACCGCAGGGUUACACUCGCUUCCUUUGGCGUCUGCCUGGCGCACCUUUUCCCGUCACUUGCCUUCACUCUUCCUGUGACGUGAUGUCUCACGUUUGUCCAGAACAUUCCUAUUUGAAUGUGACGAAAUCUGUGUUCCCCACGGUUGGCGAUGACAGCGUCUCGCUGGAGCUGCAGGGCAGAGCGUGGGGCCUGGCAAACCAAGGCUCUCACCUGGCCAGGUGCGACCCGACCCCGGGAGCACAGCGAUCUGUCCCUUUUCUGCUGAACGUACUGGACUCACUAACGAGGGAGGAAAGACAAAUGCACCCUCGUGGGUGUGUUGGUGAGAAAUCGGUUUAGAGGUGAUGUCAGCAAGAGGUUUUUGUCUCCUAAGAAAUAAAAUUAAUUGGACCAGUGCAGGGAACUACAUCAAUAGCUUGUAAUAACCUGUAAUGAAAAGAAUACGACAAAGGAUAUAGACAGAUACACACACACACACACACACACACAUCUGAAUCACCCCUGUGCGUCAGAAACGAACACAACAUUGUGAAUUCUAAGUUGGACCAAAAAGUCCUCAGGGCAGUGGAAGUAGAAACCUGUUCUCUCCCUGUGUGGGUGUUUUUUCCCGCAUAUGAACCGAAAUCUAAUGACUAAGGUAUAGCCUGCUUGUGUGAAUGGACUGAGGGUCAUUGAGAAGCCUUGUUCUUCAUGUGAAUCAGGUUAACCAUCACCAGGACACACCUGUGGGGGACUAACCGCCUCUCUCCGCCAAGCCGACCCCUCAUGGCCAUGCAGUUUUUGAGGCAAAGGCUGCUACUCCCCUCCUCCGCCAUCCACCCGUCUCCCCUUCUUCCUUCUUCCUUCUUCCAUGGUGAUUGGAACCUGAAUGAAGACUACAUUUCCCAGCCUCCUUUGCAGCCAGGCGAGGCCAUAUGACCAAGUUAUGGCCAAAGGGAGAUGGAAUCAAGGCUUGUCCCAGCCUGGAGGGAUGACGACAUGUGAGAAGCGAGCCCGCCGCCAGCCCUUUGCUGUCACACACGGCGGCGGCAAGGGCGCCGGCUUCGGUUCAAGUUCAGCCUCAGCAUGACCCUACAAGUUUUGCUGUGGAGUAUUUUUAUCAAAUUUAAAUUUAAAAAAUGAAUUCGAGGUGCUUUAUAAUUCCAUUAUAAUCUAUUUUUUGAUUAUUAAUUAUUUAGAUGUUUCUUAAUUUGCAAACAUACGGAAAUUUCCUGUAAAUUUUUAAUUUUGGACUUCUGACGUCACUCAUUUUGCUUUGAAAACUGUCCCACGUGAGUUAACACAGCUGUGUCAGUUUCCUUUUGGAAUAUCAUUUUUCAACCUUUUACUCUCAACUUUUUAUGCUUUAUAGUUUAGAGGUAUCUUUUGUAGAACACACACACACACACACACACACGGAGAGACUGAUUUUAAGCAUCUAGUCUGACGCUCUUCCUGUCAGUUACUUCACACUUUUAGUUGCUGUAUUCGGCCCACUUACCUUAUUGAAAAUCCUGGUGUGUUUACCUCCACCACAUUGUUUGUGUUAUACAUUUGUUCUGUCCCGUCCGUUUCUUUUUUCUUUUCGUUCCUCCUUCCAUAUUCCGAUGCAACUUUUCCCUCUGCAAGUUUAUACGUUGUAUUGCUUUUCUGAUCUUCUAGUGUUACCCUAGGAAUUUUAGCAGGCACACUUCGGUUACUGUGGCGAAACCCCCCAAGGUGACCCCCGUGAGUCACACCCUCCUCUCGAGUGCAGGUGGGAGCUGUGACAACGGCGAUGGGUCUACUCCCCUGAUCGUGCUUCAGCAGACUGAAGGGAGAGAGUCUCUUGAGCAGCCACACUGCGAGGCAGCCACGUGUCAAGGAACUGCGGGCGGGUGCGCGCCGAGAGCCAUCCCCGGCUGACCGCUGGCAGGAAGCCGGCCCUCAGUCACACGACUGCCAGGAAGUGAACGCUGCCAACAGCCUAGGUGAGCGUGGAAGUGAGCUCAUCCCCGGCUAAAUCUCCGGACGAGAGCGCAGCCCGGCUCACACCUGGGCUGCGACCUUGGGAGACCCUGAGCGGAGGGGCCAGCUGAGCUGACCCAGAGAAACUGCGAGAUAAUAGAUGUGUAUUGUUUAAACAUGCAGUGAUUUGUUACCAGCGACAGAAAACAAAUAGUUACCCAAACUAGGAAGUACUAGGUGUUCUCUGGGCCUCACUGCUGCUGUAAAAUCAUUACAAAGUUGUUUUAUUAAAACGAACCUUUCUGUUCUCCA
Camelus dromedarius (Arabian camel) is the source of this 2998-nucleotide long non-coding RNA. RefSeq lists it as uncharacterized. The transcript has 2 exons. Lineage: Eukaryota; Metazoa; Chordata; Mammalia; Artiodactyla; Camelidae. The record is from RefSeq and is a predicted model, not a curated record.